RNAcentral lists this unclassified non-coding RNA (466 nucleotides) under Hevea brasiliensis (rubber tree). The record is from RNAcentral. Lineage: Eukaryota; Viridiplantae; Streptophyta; Magnoliopsida; Malpighiales; Euphorbiaceae.
CAACCUUGGUACAUCUUAAGGAAAUAUACAGAAUAUUUUAGUGAGAAAUUAAAAGCUGGCAGAGAGAAGUAGAGACAGAAAUCUAAUUUGCAUUUCAUGCUUUCUUGUUACCUAGGACUGCAUGCCCUUAUAACUUGAAGGGUAAUGGAUCCUUAUUCGCAUGGUGGGAUGUUCUGAUUCAUAUAUAUAUUUCACUGCAGCUUGAGACCCUUCAGCCUUUGUUCUUCAUCCAUGUAGUUAUUGUAGCCUUUGCCAGCUUUUCUGUAAUUGGGCAAAGGAACUUGGCCAGAUUCUAUCUGCCUAACAUCUUCAACCAGUAACUCAUAAUGAUUCUUCACCUCCUCCACGGUUUUGCCACCCACAGCCCUGGCUAGAUUGACCCAGCGGUCAGGCGUUUCCUUGUCAUAGAUAGCCAAAGCAUUCUCAAACAAUUUGUUUUGCUUGGGAGUCCAAGACGAUGAGCUUG